CCUACGGGUGGCAGCAGUGAGGAAUAUUUGUCAAUGGACGAGAGUCUGAACCAGCCAAGUAGCGUGAAGGAUGACUGCCCUAUGGGUUGUAAACUUCUUUUAUAUGGGAAUAAAAUGUUCCACGUGUGGGAUUUUGUAUGUACCAUAUGAAUAAGGAUCGGCUAACUCCGUGCCAGCAGCCGCGGUAAUACGGAGGAUCCGAGCGUUAUCCGGAUUUAUUGGGUUUAAAGGGAGCGUAGGUGGAUUGUUAAGUCAGUUGUGAAAGUUUGCGGCUCAACCGUAAAAUUGCAGUUGAAACUGGCAGUCUUGAGUACAGUAGAGGUGGGCGGAAUUCGUGGUGUAGCGGUGAAAUGCUUAGAUAUCACGAAGAAAUCCGAUUGCGAAGGCAGUUCACUGGACUGCAACUGACACUGAGGCUCGAAAGUGUGGGUAUCAAACAGGAUUAGAUACCCUUGUAGUC
Molecule: ribosomal RNA, 460 nt
Filed under: uncultured bacterium
Lineage: Bacteria
Description: partial 16S ribosomal RNA
Rfam family: Bacterial small subunit ribosomal RNA
Source: RNAcentral